AUGGACUCCGGCGAGUGCUCCAACUCCAACCCCUCCGCGUCUUCCCCGGGCGCCGCAGGCGUCUGGGCGAAGCUAGUGCCUGCGGAUUCGGCCUACCCGGAGGUGGCCGUCGCAGAGGGCGACGCCGUGGUCUGCUCCCUGGUCGCCCCCGCCGCAGGCGGGGAGGAGCUCGCAUGGUGCGAGAUUAGGCGCGGCGGCGACGCGUCGUCGGCGACGAUCCGGAACCUCAGCUCGGAUGCAAUUAUUGUUGAUGGAAGAGUUAUCCAACAAGAAUUGGUUGACAUUAAACCAGGGAGCAAGAUUGUCCCAGGACCCCAGGAAGAAGGUCAUUUAGUGUAUACCUUUGAUAUAACAGCUGCGAAGGACCAUGACAAAAACAAUGUCAAGAUUUUACUUGAUAUUGAGAAUGCAAAAUGCAGCAUAUGCUUGAAUUUGUGGCAUGAUGUUGUUACUGUUGCUCCCUGCUUCCACAACUUCUGCAAUGGCUGCUUCUCAGAGUGGUUGAGAAGGUCUUCGAGCAAGUCGCGUGAUAAAAGCCAGAGUGCUGCCUGUCCACAAUGUAGGACGCCAGUGCAAUCAGUUGGAAGGAAUCACUUCCUUCAUAAUAUUGAAGAGGCUAUACUACAAGCUUUUUCGUCACUACAGCGGUCUGAUGAUGAGAUUGCGUUGUUAGAGUCAUAUGCCUCAGUUAAAUCGAAUCUUGUUUUGGGAAAGCAGAAAAAUCAAUCAAGAAAGCGCCCUUUGCCACCUGCAAGUGAUGAAAGCAACGAUGCUGAAUUUCCAUGUCCUCAAUGUGGUACAGAAUUUGCUGGAUUUAGAUGCAGUCCCCGAGCAGCACACAUACAGUGUAAUGGAUGUGGAGGAAUGAUGCCAGCUAGGCCUAACACCAGUAUACAAAAAUGUUUGGGGUGUGAUGGAUCAUUUUGUGGAGCUUAUUGGUAUUCCCAAGGAGUGAAUUCAAGUCACUGUACUCUAAUCUGCAACCAGGAAACUUUCAGGAUGAUCUCUCAGCACCAUAUCUCUAGACUUCCGGACACGCUUCAUGGGGGAAAUCCAUAUGAAAAAGAUAUCACAGAAAGGUGCAUACAGAAAUCUGGCAAAACGUUGCAAGCUGUAAUCUCUGAGUGGAUAGCAAAGUUUGAUAAUAAGGAACUUGAUCGCUCAAGGUUGCAACUGAAUAAUGUUGAGGCAAUUACUUCCAGGACAUACCUUUGCAACCAUUGCUACAACAAGUUCGUUGAUUUUCUGCUGUAUUGGUUCCGCGUGUCAACGCCCAGAAAUCUUCUUCCAGCUGAUGCUGCUGACAGGGAUAGUUGCUGGUAUGGUUUCAUGUGCCGUACCCAGCACCAUCGACAGGACCACGCCAAGAAGCUGAACCAUGUAUGCCGUCCGACGAGAGGCAACCCCUAA
RNAcentral lists this ribosomal RNA (1410 nucleotides) under Triticum aestivum (bread wheat). RNAcentral's name for it is "partial small subunit ribosomal RNA". The record is from RNAcentral. Lineage: Eukaryota; Viridiplantae; Streptophyta; Magnoliopsida; Poales; Poaceae.